RNAcentral lists this long non-coding RNA (4548 nucleotides) under Homo sapiens (human). RNAcentral's name for it is "non-protein coding MIR99AHG:119". The record is from RNAcentral. Lineage: Eukaryota; Metazoa; Chordata; Mammalia; Primates; Hominidae.
GAUUUCAGCCAGGCAGCUAGCAAAGCUCGCGGGUGAACUGCACAGGCCAUGGUGGGUGCAGAGCUCAGAGCCGGAAAGCAAACAGCUGCUGUAGCCUGAUUUGAGUUAAAAUAGUGUGAGUGUUUAGUCUGGCGCACGGCUUCAGGGGAGAUUGGCAGCUGGGUCAAACAAAGUCCUUCCAUUGGCUCCCUUCCCAGGCAGCUUCUGCUAGUGUUUAGGUACUAGUGCAGUGUAGAACCCUUUUCUCAGGCAAAACCUAACAUCUGACCGCACCCUUUUUGCUAUUAAAAAAAAAAAAAAGCUUCUAUUUUUUUCCUCCUGUCGUUAAGAUAAAUUCUCCAGUAGACAACCUCUCCCACUAAUUGUGUAUUAGCAACGUAUUUUAUCUUGAGAGCUUGUACACUGGGCUCUCAACGUGGUGUGGAAGGUAGCCUGUUACAGUGCUGGAUUCAUAAAAGGGCCUUUAUGGUUUGUGAAAGAAUAUCUGUGUGCUUAGGGAGGAAACUUUUUGAUCUGCAGAAAAGCCAGAAGACAUCUAGGACAUCCAUAAAAAUUCAUCAGAGAGCAUUUUACUACUGAGCUGCAAAGGGAAAAACUUAAAAUGGAUAUGAAAAGUGAAGAAAGUGAUCAUAGGAGAAAACCAUUUCAGGUGUCUGAUGAUUUGUGAGCCUCAAGUGACUACUCUGUGGAAUCAUCUGUCCUUGCCUUUGAAUUAGCUUUCCCUAGGCCAUGAGUCAACAUUAGUAGUUUAUACAUCCAAAUUGAUGACAAGAGCACCUCAAAGGCAGCAGCCUCAAGGAGCAGCCAUGGCCCCAGACUUGUCGCACGGAUGCAGAAAACUUAAUGGAGGAGGCUGAGGUCAGAAUGGGAAGAGUUUUUAAAAAAUAAAAAGGGGAGCUAAUAUGUGAGGAACUGAUUGCUGUGCAUUAUUUUCCACUGAACAGACCUUCUUUUAACUUCUAAUCUCAAGCACAUAGCAGCUGUUGUUUUCAUAUUAAAGAUCAGUAAGUGUUUGUUGAAUGAAUGUAUAAAUUCUUCCCCAAUCUCUGUUCCAUGUAAUAAGAACUAAGUUAGCAUUCAAUUAUAAAGAGGACUUAGAAAGUCUGCAGACAUUUUUGAUCAAAAAUCCUUUUAACUGUCUUCUUAUGGUUCCCGGUAACACCUAAGCCCAAAAAACUCAGGUCAUUUCUUGCCUGUACUGUUGCAAUAGCCUCAUAAUAACUAGUCUUCUCCUUUAUCAACCACAGUCGUCUCCGCUACACAAAGAAGAGAGGGUGCUAAUCUAAAGUGUAAAUUAUUUUAAAUCAGCACCCUUCUUGUAAUUUCCCAGUGGUUUUUCCUGUCAUAAGAAUAACAUGCAAAAUUCCUUGCUUGCAAAGCCAGGUAUGACCUUGCCCCGUCUACCUUACUGGCAUCGUCUCUCAUGACUCUUCCCCUUUUUCACUCUCCAUCUUGCCUUUUCCCAACCAUGCCUGCUAGUGAGCCUUAGCCCUUGUGUUUUCUCUGCCAGGGAUGCAUGACUGGCUUCUUUACUUUAUUCUGAUCUCUCUGCUCAAAUGUCAUCUUUUUAGAGAUAGCUUUCCUAAACAUCUUUAAAAGUACCCCAUGAACUGUGAAACACCUUUCCUGCUUUUUCUUCAUAGUACUUAUCACUUCCUGAUAUUAUGUUAGACAACAAGCAAAUAAGUAUAUGCUGUUCCCACUAAAAUAUAAGCUCCAUUUGAACAGGAGCCUUGAUUAUUCCUGAGUAUACCCCUAGUGCCCAGAACCUAGUAGGGCUUUAAUAAAUAUUAGAUUCAUUUGUUGAAUGAAAAAAUGAAUGAAUAAUUGAAUAAAGAUAUCCAGGUAGAGUGUCCGGGCAGCCCAACCUAUGUGAAGCCAGUACAAGAAUGUUUCUGUGACAUAGUGAGCGCAAUUAUUCCUCUAAAUGAUGAACUUGCAUGAGUACACAAGGAUAAAAUUAAGCACGUAGUUUAGAUUUCUGCAAGUCUCUUCCUCAGAUUGAGGAAAAACAAAGAAAUUGAGCUUAUUCUCACCUCAUUCUUACAUGAACUAAAUCCAGAAUAAAGCAUCAUUUAAAUACCAAGCACAUCCCUACCUCAGCCACUCAUGGAAUACUUUAUCUGUAAAGGGACAGAUAGAUAGUAAAUAUUUUUGGCUUUGGGGACCGUACAGUCUGUGUCGCCACUACUCAGCACUUCUGUUGAGGUGUGGAAUCAGCCCUAGACAACACAUAAACAAAUGGGUGUGGCUGUGUUCCAAUAAAAUGUUAUUUAUAAAACUAGGAAAUCAGCAGAUUUAGUCCACAGGCUGUAGUUUGCUGACCCUUGAAUUAGAGAGUCUUCCCCAAAUCCUCUUCCCAAGUUAUUGAAAGAAUGCCCAUAGGACCAUAGCUCCCUCACCUGGUUCUUUCAAGAAAUGAGACAAAUUCAGGGAUGGUUGGAGGGUGGAACGCCUACCUGUGACAUGACUAUUGAGCCUGAUUUCUUUCCUUUUAUCUCUUUAAAGUGAGUCAGGUCUUAACUUUAAACUGUCUCUAAAGUGGCAAUAACUGGGCCAUGUCAAAUACUCCCAAUGACAAAAUUUCUUCUUGGAGAAUGAAUGAGGGUUGCAUACAGUGGUGUGUUGGUAAAUGUUUAGCAACUGGCUCUCUUACUGAUUUCUGUAGUGUAAAUUCUCCCAUCCUGGCCAUCUGAAACUACCAAUAUGAUGUCACUUGAUGUAGAGUUGGGAAAAGACAGUCUCUUGAAUAAGUAUGAGCUGGUUCCAGCCCACUGCUGAACACAUAUUUAAAAGCUACAAUAGCUCUGCUCACUGCCAUUGCAGAGUCUGGAGGAAAGAGUAGCAGGCUUGAUAGGAGCAAUUGGCUGAAUAAUCUUUUGCAAUGCCAAUAAAUAAUGAAAAAGUAUAUAAAUAUAACGCUGUAUAGAAAGCUCUCAAGUUCAGUGUUUGGUUAAAAUACAUACUCAGUAAAUGGUAGCUAUUAUUGUCUUAGUUUAAGUUAUUGCAAGCAUUAAAAUUAAAUGUUUAGCUACAGACUCAAUCCAGUUUUAAUGUCAUUGUGUUAAUAAGGCCUCUUAACAUUGAAGCAACAAAGAUAAAGGAAUUUUUUUGUAGCUAUUCACGAUUCUGCCCAGCUCAAGGUAAAGAUAGCAACAAAAUACUCCAACCAGAAUAAAAGAAGUCUCCACUUGACUGCAGCUCUUCGCAACACUUCACAAGGGUCAAGCUGUGUUAGUUUCCUUCAGUGUUAAACAGAAUGCAUCUUAAGAGAAUAGUUCAAUUAUUGAUUGAAUAGUAGGUUCAAGUUGACUAUAAUCCCAACUAAUACACUCUAAGACCAGGGAUGGGCCGACAGAAGGGUAAAGUUUUCCACUCAAGUCUCGAGGCAAACACUCAGAUAGAAGUAGUAAUAUGGAUGCCUUCUAUUAUUUGGUCACAUACAAUACUGUUCCAGCCCAGUUGUGCAAAACUGGUGAAAUAAAAGGCAAAAAUAUUGACAACAGUUUGGGUAACUGGAUUCCAAAAUGGGCAUCCAUCUAAGAGAAAUUAAUGAAAAAAAAGCAUAUGGACCUUGAAAUACAUUAAUACACAGUUUAGGUUUAAACACUCAGUUUUUAUUAGAAAAGACUAACUUAUCCUGUUUUGAACACUACAAAAGUGCUUUCUGAACCAUUUACUCUCAAACCUCCUCCACCCAUUCCCCUCCAUCUAUAACGCUUUCUGCACAUCUGUAAAAGGUAUGACUUAGUGUUUGGUCUGUGAAAUAAGGUUAAAAAGGAAGCAUUUCUUUUUACAUUCUAGCUAAUGUUGAUAUUUUUCUCAUGCUUCUAUUAGCACAUAAUUCAGAUACAUUAGUUUUGAAGUUUUGAAUCUUCUCUGCUUCUUGAGGGCUCUCUGUUCUAGAUCAACAUGAUCUGUGGAACACCAGCCAAGUCCUGGGCAGAACCCUCCCCGUUGUCCAAAUAUUACUGAAUCAGUUGAGUUUUCUCUGUUGUCAAUGAAUUAUUCCACAUGUUUCUUUGGCUACAUUUUUUUUGGCUUUCUGUUCACAGUAAAUAUAGCCUUUGUUUUUAAAAACUUCUAUUAUGAAAAUUCCAAAUAUAUGCAAAUUAGAGAGAAUAGCAUAAUGAACCUCUAUGUGCUUAUCACACAUAUAGGUUCAACUAAUUAAAUUAUAUCAAUUUAUGGCCAAUCUGGUUUCAUUUAUAACAUCAUUCGCUCAUUCCUAACUCCCUGGAUUAUUUGAUUGACAUGUUUCUAAAGUUCCUUUUAAUCUGUAGGUUCCCCCUCUCAUUUAAUCUUUUGCAACUUAUUCAUUGAUGAAACUGGGUUAUUUGUCCUUUAUUGUUUCUCUCAUUCUGAAAUAUGCUGUAAUGUCAUUAACCAUAUUCUUCUUUCCUGUAUUUUCUGUAAGCUUUGAGCUAGGCAGAAAUAUUUUAAUCAGAUUCCUUUUUUUUUCUUUUAGCAAGAUUUCUUCAUAAAUAAUAUUGUAUGUGUUCAUGAAAAUAGAAAUAAAAAUAGAAAUAAAGAAGAAAUAACAGAAAA